This 23-nucleotide microRNA is filed under the name Eisenia fetida (common brandling worm). Its description in RNAcentral is "Efe-Mir-137-P9_5p* (star (passenger))". The record is from RNAcentral. Lineage: Eukaryota; Metazoa; Annelida; Clitellata; Crassiclitellata; Lumbricidae.
ACGUGUAUUCUUAGGUAAAUAAU